Molecule: ribosomal RNA, 546 nt
Filed under: Cephalorhynchus commersonii (Commerson's dolphin)
Lineage: Eukaryota; Metazoa; Chordata; Mammalia; Artiodactyla; Delphinidae
Description: partial 16S ribosomal RNA
Rfam family: Bacterial large subunit ribosomal RNA
Source: RNAcentral
CACCUCUAGCAUAACUAGUAUUAGAGGCACNGCCUGCCCAGUGACAAUCGUUAAACGGCCGCGGUAUCUUGACCGUGCAAAGGUAGCAUAAUCACUUGUUCUCUAAAUAAGGACUUGUAUGAAUGGCCACACGAGGGUUUUACUGUCUCUUACUCUUAAUCAGUGAAAUUGACCUCCCCGUGAAGAGGCGGGGAUAACACAAUAAGACGAGAAGACCCUAUGGAGCUUUAAUUAAUCAACUCAAAAAGCGUAAAAUAAUACCACCAAGGGAUAACAAAGCUUUACAUGAGUUGACAAUUUCGGUUGGGGUGACCUCGGAGUAUAAAAAACCCUCCGAGUGAUUAAAACUUAGGCCUACCAGCCAAAGUAUAGUAUCACUUAUUGAUCCAAAAUUUUGAUCAACGGAACAAGUUACCCUAGGGAUAACAGCGCAAUCCUAUUCUAGAGUCCAUAUCGACAAUAGGGUUUACGACCUCGAUGUUGGAUCAGGACAUCCUAAUGGUGCAGCAGCUAUUAAGGGUUCGUUUGUUCAACGAUUAAAGUCCU